CGGACCCCAGGGUGCCGACUCAGCCGGCGGCCUGAGAGCCGGGCCGCCCCCACCCCCGAGAGCGGCAGGGGUCUGGGAAGAGAAGCAGAGUGCAGGGAGAUGGCCUCUCUCUCGGCCCACCGCGGAGGUUGCGGCCUCCCAUAAGCUAGCAGGCUUCUCGGGCCCCGGCCUGCCGUCGGCUUCGCCACAGCGGGCCUAAUAUGGCCGCUCGUGCCGGGAUCUCCCGGGUGUGCAGAGAACCGGGCCGAGGUCCGGGGCCAGGAACUGCUCCCGGCAUUCCUCGCGGGCGUGGCGUGGGCUCCCUUCCCCCUUCUCCAGGUCCCGCGAGAGGGAGAUCCUGGGGCUUUGAGGUAGCAUGGCCCAGGGCCUGAUUGAAGUGGAGCGAAAGUUCGUUCCCAGCCCUGGCACAGAGGAGCGGCUGCAGGAAUUGGGGGGUACCCUGGAGCGCCGAGUCACUUUCCGAGACAGCUACUAUGACACCCCUGAGCUGAGCCUCAUGCGGGCAGACUACUGGCUCCGACAGCGACAGGGCAGUGGAUGGGAGCUCAAAUGUCCCGGAGCAGCAAGUGUCUCAGGACCCCACACUAAGUACAUGGAACUCACAGCUGAGCCUGCAGUUGUGGCCCAGCUCUGUGAGGUGCUGAGGGCUGAAGUCCCGGGGGCUGGAGGCGUGGCUGCUGUGCUGGGCCCGCUGGGGCUGCAGGAAGUAGCUAGUUUUGUGACUAAGCGUAGUGCCUGGAAACUGGUGCCGCGCGGAGCUGAUGAAGAGGAGCGGCCGCUCAGGGUGGACCUGGAUACAGCUGACUUUGGCUAUGCUGUGGGUGAGGUAGAGGCCCUGGUGCAAGAGGAGGCCGAAGUCCCAGCUGCCCUGGAGAAGAUCCACAGCCUCAGCAGCAUGCUUGGUGUGCUGGCGCAGGAGACGGCACCUGCCAAGCUGAUUGUGUACCUACAGCGCUUCCGGCCUCAGGACUAUCAGCGCCUGCUAGAAGUGUACAGCUCCGAAGAGAAGCCUUAGGGGACUGGAAGAUCCAGACGUGACACUGGGCUAGGGUGUCACUUGCCCGAUGGGGAAGAAAGCUCCGGGUCGAAUGAGGUUCAUUCCUGGGCUCACUGUGCCUCUUCCUCUCUGGCUCCCCUUCCCACGGUGACUCCUCUCUCUCCAGCUCCGCCUGUUCCUUCCCCCUACCCUCAGCUAUCCUUCCUGGAGCCCUCCCUGGCUGCCCCCUCUCCCUCAUCCGUCAGAUGCAAUCUGUGGGCCGCCCCUCUCCCCUGGCCGCUAAGCAGCCUCCAUUGAUUUCCGCUCGUGUUUAUAGGAUUUCCACUUAGCCGUGAUCAGUAGUUAAGCACAGGAAAAUCCCUUGCCACCCUCCCUCCCUUGGUCGAUGCCAUUGAUUCUGCCAGCGGCUCCUAAACCGCCUUACAGCUGAGUUAGAGAUGAGGGGAGGCAGCAGGGAUUUCCCUGCCCUGGGGUAUGGGGAAUAGCAGAAGGCUGGGGAAAUGGGUGGGAGUCCCUGUUAGAAAUCUAGAAAUUCUGGUUUGAUGUUGCCCCUGUGCCCUGCCCUGGCCCAGAGGGUAGAGUGCCUCCUGUGGAAGUUUAGGGGCACAUUUGCCCCCCAACCUGGAAAGGGGUAAAAAGAAAACCUUUCUUUGUUGAAACCAGUUCCAAAGGCUUAGGGCAAGAUACCUACUUCCUGUGUAAGAAGGCUCUUCCCUGGCUGUGCUUCACAUACGUUGUUUUCUACCUCAAAUAUGGCUUCCCCCCUCAGGCUUUAUUGGGCUUUCACUAUUUGUAGGGUUGGGGGCAGCCCCCCCACCCCAGUGGCAAGUACAGACCAGAGUGCCACCUGCUGGCUGUCCUCAGAUAGCGGCUCCCCUGGGCUUGGGGACACAGGAGGGUUUCAGGCUGUGAGUGGAGGCCGAGUUACUGCCAUGUCUCCACAGGCAAGUUGUUCACCUCAAAGAUUUCCUGCACCGACUGGCCAAAGUGGUUGUAGGUGAGGCGCAGCUUCAGCCGCAAGGGGGCCUAGGAAUAGGAGAGCAGAGACCAGGGUAAGCGCCAGAGACUCCCCCUUCACUGGGUCUUAGCCUCGAGGGGCUCCUGGAGCUCACCUUCUUAGGAUUGAGGAUUCUGAGGAGCUGGGUCAUCGGAAGGCCACCCUGAGCUGGAACUGUGUCCCCACUGGGAGCCUGUAGCUGCAGCUGGAAACUCUGAGCACAGGAGGUUGGAUGGAGCACACCGCAGGGAGCUGGCUGGGCUCAGGCGGCACAGUCUUGCUGGCCUUCAGAUGAACAAGGAUGGUGGGAAGCCCACUUAGCUUCAGUGAACUGUGAGUAGGAGGCUCUGACUGGAUGAGGAAGGACACAGGUGAGGAUGAGACCCCUCCACCCAGAAAGGGACAGUGGGGAGCGGGCCAGGGGUUGGGUCCCACACUGCGGCAGAGUGGCGCGCACACCUCAUGUGGUCAUACUUCCGGAAGAGGGUGUUAUACUCCACCGCCCGCUGCUGCAACUCCACGUCCAGGCAGCUGCUGUAGAUGGACACAACCUGGCGGAUGCGGCUGGGCCGCAGGGUGGUGCGUGAGUGGGAAGACUCGUCUGCCAUGCCCUUCACCUUCAGGAUGCGGCAAGAAAGGAAGAGGCCCCACAGACCACAGAGAUACCCAUGAUUCUUGGCUCAAAAGGAAAAAGCUGGGCUUCCCUGGUGGCGCAGUGGUUGAGAGUACGCCUGCCGAUGCAGGGGACGCGGGUUCGUGCCCCGGUCCGGGAGGAUCCCGCAUGCUGCGGAGCAGCUGGGCCCGUGGGCCAUGGCCGCUGGGCCUGCGUGUCCAGAGCCUGUGCUCCGCAGCGGGAAAGGCCACAACAGUGAAAGGCCCGCGUAUCGCAAAAAGAAAAAAAAAAAGGAAGAAGCUAAGGACGGAGGAGUGGGGAUUGGGGUGUGGGCCUGGACAGAAACUCAGAAACUGGGGGGCACAGUGAAGGGACAUCUCUCAAUGGAGGCACCAAGAAGAGGCUCUGUGGGAGGGGUUGGGACCCACUCUUACUUGUUGUCCCCACGGAGCCGGGUGCUGAGCUUCACGAGGGCUGUGAGGGCAUAUCCUCGGGUGGCUGGCAGGGACAUAUGGGACUGCAGCACCCUUUCCAGCAGUGCCAACACCUCCUCUUCCUCCACCUUCCAGGGGACACAGGGAGUGACCCUGGGGCCAGCCCUGCCUCCCCUGAUAUGUCCCUCCUCAGUGUAUCCUCAAUGCAGGACCUACCUGCAGGGGCUCAGUUUCCUCACAGCUCCCUUCCAGCAGGAGGUCCCCAUAUUCCCCGAUGCACCAGGUUGCCACCUGCACCAGCGGUUGCUGCGUGGGAGAAACAUGAUGGGCCUGUGUCUAUGUCCCCUCCUCACUUCCAGACCCUGUGACAUCCUUUAGGUAGUGCAGAGAUGGUGGAGUUUGGAGGGGUGGGGAAAGGGAGGGGCCUCAGCACAGGGAGCAGUUAUGAGCAGUUUUGUUAAUGCGCUCCCAGCUCUGUCCUGGCUCCUGGGCUUCCUCUGCCCUCUGGUGGCCAAGUUUCAGAACUACAUGGCCUAGGAUGGACCUACAGAUCAUCGUACUAAAUUAAGCCAGACAUAGAAAGACAAACAUUGUAUGAUAUCACUUGUAUGUGGAAUCUAAAAAGUAAUAAAAAUGAAUCUAUAUACAAAACAGAAACAGACUCACAGACAUAGAAAACAAACUUAUGGUUACCAAAGGGGAAGGGGGAGUGGGAAAGAUAAAUAAGGAGUAUGGGAUUAAGAUACAAACUACUAUAUGUAAAAUAAAUAAGCAAGGAUUUACUGUAUAGCACAGGGAACUAUAUUCAAUAUCUUGUAAUAACCUAUAAUGGAAAGUAAUCUUAAAAUAUGUAUGUAUAACUCAAUCACUUUGUUGUGCACCUAAAACUAACACAAUAUUGUAAAUCAACUAUAUUUCAAUUAAAAAAAAUAUCCUAGAAUAAAAUUCAGAAAGUAAUGCCAAAACAAAAACAAAAAUAAACCUACAUGGCCUAACCACAAGGGGUGCAGCAAGGAUGGGGAGAAGUGACGGGGGGUCCUCCCUUGAGAAAGGGGUGGGUGGUUUCUGCCUAGCCUACUAAAGUAAUAUGGAAAGGGGGCUAUACUGGUUGGCAUCUGUGAUUUCAGUCAGCAUUCAAGGUAAUAAUAAAACCGGGGACUUCCCUGGUGGUGCACCGGUUAAGAAACUGCAUGCCAAUGCAGGGGACAUGGGUUCGAGCCCUGGCCCGGGAAGAUCCCACAUGCCGCGGAGCAACUGAGCCCAUGCGCCACAACUACUGAGCCUGCGCUCUAGAGCCCAUGAGCCACAACUACUGAGCCCGCGUGCCACAACUAUGGAAGCCU
Molecule: RNA transcript, 4384 nt
Organism: Lagenorhynchus albirostris (white-beaked dolphin)
Lineage: Eukaryota; Metazoa; Chordata; Mammalia; Artiodactyla; Delphinidae
Gene: THTPA
Gene name: thiamine triphosphatase
Exons: 4
Source: RefSeq, a predicted model, not a curated record